AGAGUUUGAUCCUGGCUCAGGAUGAACGCUAGCGGCAGGCCUAACACAUGCAAGUCGAACGGUAACAGGGGUAGCAAUACCUGCUGACGAGUGGCGCACGGGUGAGUAACACGUUUGCAACCUACCUUUGACUGGGGCAUAGCCCGGAGAAAUUCGGAUUAAUACCCCAUAAUGUUCAUUUAAGGCAUCUUUUAUGAAUUAAAGCUUUGGCGGUCAAAGAUGGGCAUGCGUACCAUUAGCUAGUUGGAGAGGUAACGGCUCACCAAGGCAACGAUGGUUAGGGGGUCUGAGAGGAUUAUCCCCCACACUGGUACUGAGACACGGACCAGAUUCCUACGGGAGGCAGCAGUGAGGAAUAUUGGGCAAUGGACGAAAGUCUGACCCAGCCAUGCCGCGUGCAGGAUGACGGCGCUACGCGUUGUAAACUGCUUUUGUAUGGGAAGAAACCCCUUAACGUGUUAAGGGUUGACGGUACUGUACGAAUAAGCAUCGGCUAACUCCGUGCCAGCAGCCGCGGUAAUACGGAGGAUGCAAGCGUUAUCCGGAUUUAUUGGGUUUAAAGGGUGCGUAGGCGGAAAAUUAAGUCAGUAAUGAAAUCCUGUAGCUUAACUAUAGAACUGUUAUUGAUACUGGUUUUCUUGAAUACAGUUGA
RNAcentral lists this ribosomal RNA (652 nucleotides) under uncultured Bacteroidota bacterium. RNAcentral describes it as "bacterial SSU rRNA". It matches the Rfam family "Bacterial small subunit ribosomal RNA", at positions 8 to 655 of the family's 1533-position model. Lineage: Bacteria; Pseudomonadati; Bacteroidota. The record is from RNAcentral.